CAACGAAACAAUGGAAAUGUUCAACUGCUGUAUAUAACUUACAGUGGUAUCUGAAAACCAUGCAUAUAUUGGUGCCAUGCAUGCAUAUCACUUGAGGCUGUAUGUCACUUUGCGGAUAUUCUAUUUUCCAAGGUAGCGUGUGUAGCAGGCGUUUCGAGACUACUUGCUGCCUUUCAACCGUCAAGUGCGUGUAUGGGUAAAACGAAUAAGGGGGAAAACGGGCUUAAUAAUAAUUUUGACAUCGAUCGAAAGUAGUUGAAUUUGUUUAUUCCUUUUGUAAUAAUCUUCUAAGAC
Non-coding RNA from Paramuricea clavata, 294 nucleotides. Lineage: Eukaryota; Metazoa; Cnidaria; Anthozoa; Malacalcyonacea; Plexauridae. The record is from the annotation of a GenBank genome assembly.